AUUCCAUGAUGAAGACACUUUCGUAAUAAUUCCUUAAACUGCUCUUAUGCCUCAUAUAAAGAUUUUUCAUAAUUUGUUGAAAUGAAGUGAUUUCAAUUUGAAGCUU
Molecule: non-coding RNA, 106 nt
Organism: Gossypium arboreum
Lineage: Eukaryota; Viridiplantae; Streptophyta; Magnoliopsida; Malvales; Malvaceae
Source: Rfam